UUUAAAUAGUUUAGGGUAAAACGUCGGGUUGUGGCGCCGAAGAGAUAAGAGAGUUAUUUUAAAUCG
RNAcentral lists this transfer RNA (66 nucleotides) under Cherax sp. HG-2014b. RNAcentral describes it as "tRNA-His". It matches the Rfam family "tRNA". Rfam says of the family: Transfer RNA (tRNA) molecules are approximately 80 nucleotides in length. Their secondary structure includes four short double-helical elements and three loops (D, anti-codon, and T loops). The record is from RNAcentral. Lineage: Eukaryota; Metazoa; Arthropoda; Malacostraca; Decapoda; Parastacidae.